Molecule: ribosomal RNA, 497 nt
Filed under: uncultured bacterium
Lineage: Bacteria
Description: partial 16S ribosomal RNA
Rfam family: Bacterial small subunit ribosomal RNA
Source: RNAcentral
GAUGAACGCUGGCGGCGUGCCUAAUACAUGCAAGUCGAGCGAACAGACGAGGAGCUUGCUCCUCUGACGUUAGCGGCGGGCGGGUGAGUAACACGUGGAUAACCUACCUAUAAGACUGGGAUAACUUAGGGAAACCGGAGCUAAUACCGGAUAAUAUAUUGAACCGCAUGGUUCAAUAGUGAAAGACGGUUUUGCUGUCACUUAUAGAUGGAUCCGCGCCGCAUUAGCUAGUUGGUAAGGUAACGGCUUACCAAGGCAACGAUGCGUAGCCGACCUGAGAGGGUGAUCGGCCACACUGGAACUGAGACACGGUCCAGACUCCUACGGGAGGCAGCAGUAGGGAAUCUUCCGCAAUGGGCGAAAGCCUGACGGAGCAACGCCGCGUGAGUGAUGAAGGUCUUCGGAUCGUAAAACUCUGUUAUUAGGGAAGAACAAAUGUGUAAGUAACUUUGCACGUCUUGACGGUACCUAAUCAGAAAGCCACGGCUAACUACGUG